This 253-nucleotide ribosomal RNA is filed under the name uncultured bacterium. RNAcentral describes it as "partial 16S ribosomal RNA". It matches the Rfam family "Bacterial small subunit ribosomal RNA", at positions 524 to 776 of the family's 1533-position model. The record is from RNAcentral.
UACGUAGGCAGCAAGCGUUGUUCGGAGUUACUGGGCGUAAAGGGUGCGUAGGCGGUCCUAUAAGUAUGGUGUGAAAUCUCCCGGCUUAACUGGGAGGGUGCGCUAUAGACUGUGGGACUAGAGUGUGGGAGAGGAAAGUGGAAUUCCUGGUGUAGCGGUGAAAUGCGUAGAUAUCAGGAGGAACACCGGUGGUGUAAACGGCUUUCUGGACCAUAACUGACGCUGAGGCACGAAAGCGUGGGUAGCAAACGGG